UGAUAUGGCUCAGUUGGUAGAGCGCACCCUUGGUAAGGGUGAGGUCCCCAGUUCGACUCUGGGUAUCAGCACCA
RNAcentral lists this transfer RNA (74 nucleotides) under Klebsiella aerogenes. Its description in RNAcentral is "tRNA-Thr". It matches the Rfam family "tRNA". From Rfam's summary of the family: Transfer RNA (tRNA) molecules are approximately 80 nucleotides in length. RNAcentral also lists the same sequence under 27 other names. The record is from RNAcentral. Lineage: Bacteria; Pseudomonadati; Pseudomonadota; Gammaproteobacteria; Enterobacterales; Enterobacteriaceae.